UCCUACGGGAGGCAGCAGUGGGGAAUAUUGGACAAUGGGCGAAAGCCUGAUCCAGCCAUGCCGCGUGUGUGAAGAAGGCCUUCGGGUUGUAAAGCACUUUCAGUGAGGAAGAAAGCCUUGAGGUUAAUACCCUCGAGGGAGGACAUCACUCACAGAAGAAGCACCGGCUAACUCCGUGCCAGCAGCCGCGGUAAUACGGAGGGUGCGAGCGUUAAUCGGAAUUACUGGGCGUAAAGCGCGCGUAGGUGGCUUGAUAAGCCGGUUGUGAAAGCCCCGGGCUCAACCUGGGAACGGCAUCCGGAACCGUCAAGCUAGAGUGCAGGAGAGGAAGGUAGAAUUCCCGGUGUAGCGGUGAAAUGCGUAGAGAUCGGGAGGAAUACCAGUGGCGAAGGCGGCCUUCUGGACUGACACUGACACUGAGGUGCGAAAGCGUGGGUAGCAAACAGGAUUAGAUACCCUGGUAGUCCACGCCGUAAACGAUGUCGACCAGCCGUUGGGUGCCUAGCGCACUUUGUGGCGAAGUUAACGCGAUAAGUCGACCGCCUGGGGAGUACGGCCGCAAGGUUAAAACUCAAAUGAAUUGACGG
Molecule: ribosomal RNA, 587 nt
Filed under: uncultured bacterium
Lineage: Bacteria
Description: bacterial SSU rRNA
Rfam family: Bacterial small subunit ribosomal RNA
Source: RNAcentral